GGGACACGUGGUAUCCUGUCUGAAUAUGGGGGGACCAUCCUCCAAGGCUAAAUACUCCUGACUGACCGAUAGUGAACCAGUACCGUGAGGGAAAGGCGAAAAGAACCCCGGCGAGGGGAGUGAAAAAGAACCUGAAACCGUGUACGUACAAGCAGUGGGAGCACGCUUAGGCGUGUGACUGCGUACCUUUUGUAUAAUGGGUCAGCGACUUAUAUUCUGUAGCAAGGUUAACCGAAUAGGGGAGCCGAAGGGAAACCGAGUCUUAACUGGGCGUUAAGUUGCAGGGUAUAGACCCGAAACCCGGUGAUCUAGCCAUGGGCAGGUUGAAGGUUGGGUAACACUAACUGGAGGACCGAACCGACUAAUGUUGAAAAAUUAGCGGAUGACUUGUGGCUGGGGGUGAAAGGCCAAUCAAACCGGGAGAUAGCUGGUUCUCCCCGAAAGCUAUUUAGGUAGCGCCUCGUGAAUUCAUCUCCGGGGGUAGAGCACUGUUUCGGCAAGGGGGUCAUCCCGACUUACCAACCCGAUGCAAACUGCGAAUACCGGAGAAUGUUAUCACGGGAGACACACGGCGGGUGCUAACGUCCGUCGUGAAGAGGGAAACAACCCAGACCGCCAGCUAAGGUCCCAAAGUCAUGGUUAAGUGGGAAACGAUGUGGGAAGGCCCAGACAGCCAGGAUGUUGGCUUAGAAGCAGCCAUCAUUUAAAGAAAGCGUAAUAGCUCACUGGUCGAGUCGGCCUGCGCGGAAGAUGUAACGGGGCUAAACCAUGCACCGAAGCUGCGGCAGCGACACUAUGUGUUGUUGGGUAGGGGAGCGUUCUGUAAGCCUGUGAAG
This 836-nucleotide ribosomal RNA is filed under the name Escherichia coli. RNAcentral's name for it is "partial 23S ribosomal RNA". It matches the Rfam family "Bacterial large subunit ribosomal RNA", at positions 419 to 1255 of the family's 2925-position model. Lineage: Bacteria; Pseudomonadati; Pseudomonadota; Gammaproteobacteria; Enterobacterales; Enterobacteriaceae. The record is from RNAcentral.